This 75-nucleotide transfer RNA is filed under the name Armatimonadota bacterium. Its description in RNAcentral is "Armatimonadetes bacterium (marine sediment metagenome) tRNA-Pro". It matches the Rfam family "tRNA". Rfam says of the family: Transfer RNA (tRNA) molecules are approximately 80 nucleotides in length. Their secondary structure includes four short double-helical elements and three loops (D, anti-codon, and T loops). RNAcentral also lists the same sequence under 1 other name. Lineage: Bacteria; Bacillati; Armatimonadota. The record is from RNAcentral.
CGGGGCGUAGCUCAGUUUGGUCAGAGCGCAUGGUUUGGGACCAUGAGGCCGGCAGUUCGAGUCUGCCCGCCCCGA